AGCGAACGCUAGCGGCGGGCCUAACACAUGCAAGUCGAGCGCAUACCUUCGGGUAUGAGCGGCGGACGGGUGAGUAACGCGUAGGUCAUCUACCCUUUGGUGGGGGAUAACCCAGGGAAACUUGGGCUAAUACCGCACGAGGUCCACGGAUCAAAGCCUUCGGGCGCCAGAGGAUGAGCCUGCGUCGCAUUACCUAGUUGGCGGGGUAACGGCCCACCAAGGGGACGAUGCGUAGCUGGUCUGAGAGGAUGAUCAGCCACACUGGGACUGAGACACGGCCCAGACUCCUACGGGAGGCAGCAGUGGGGAAUAUUGCGCAAUGGGGGAAACCCUGACGCAGCCACGCCGCGUGGGUGAUGAAGGCCUUCGGGUUGUAAAGCCCUGUCGGGAGGGACGGAAUUCUUGACGGUACCUCCAAAGAAAGCACCGGCUAACUCCGUGCCAGCAGCCGCGGU
RNAcentral lists this ribosomal RNA (455 nucleotides) under uncultured bacterium. RNAcentral describes it as "bacterial SSU rRNA". It matches the Rfam family "Bacterial small subunit ribosomal RNA", at positions 28 to 521 of the family's 1533-position model. The record is from RNAcentral.